This is an RNA transcript of Cebus imitator (Panamanian white-faced capuchin), 1582 nucleotides long. It is a transcript of the gene named ADP-ribosylation factor GTPase-activating protein 2-like, with no coding region annotated. Lineage: Eukaryota; Metazoa; Chordata; Mammalia; Primates; Cebidae. The record is from RefSeq and is a predicted model, not a curated record. The transcript is spliced from 2 exons.
GUGUCUGGGAAGGAGAGAAAAUGGUGGCGGAACCGAGCAAGACCGAAAUCCAGACCCUUUUUAAGAGGCUUCGCGCAGUUCCAACCAACAAGGCUUGUCUCGAUUGCGGCGCCAAGAAUCCGAGUUGGGCCAGCAUCACGUAUGGCGCUUUCUUGUGCAUUGACGGCUCCGGGGUGCACCGCUCCCUGGGCAUCCUUCUGAGCUUCAUCAGGCCCACAGAGUUGGAUUCCAACUGGAACUGGUUCCAGCUGAGGUGUAUGCAGGGCGGCGGGAAUGCCAAGGCAACGGCUUUUUUCUGCCAACCGUGCAGGCCAGUGAUGCCAACACCAAAUACAAUAGCCGAGCUGCCCAGAUGUACCGGGAGAAGAUCCGGCAGCUGGGGAGUGCGGCCAUGGCUAGGCACGGCAGUGAUCUUUGGAUAGACAACAUGAGUAGUGCUGUUCCUAGUCACCUCCCGGAGAAGAAGGACUCUGAUUUCUUCACUGAACACACUCAACCCCCUUCCUGGGAUGCACCAGCCACUGAGCCUUCAGGGACCCAGCGGCCAGCGUCGUCUGCAGAAAGCAGUGGCCUGGCACAGCCAGAGCAUGGCCCCAACACAGACCUGCUUGGCACCUCACCCAAAGCCUCACUGGAACUGAAAAGCUCCAUCAUUGGCAAGAAGAAGCCAGCAGCAGCUAAGAAAGGGCUGGGUGCCAAGAAAGGCCUAGGGGCCCAGAAGGUGAGCAGCCAGAGCUUCAACGAGAUUGAACGGCAGGCCCAGGUGGGAGAGAAGCUCCGAGAGCAGCAGGCAGCCGAAGCCAAGAAGCAGGCGGAGGAGUCCAUGGUCGCCUCUAUGCGCCUGGCCUAUCAGGAGCUCCAGAUUGAUCGUAAGAAAGAGGAAAAGCAGCUACAGAACCUGGAAGGGAAGAAGGGAGAGCAGGCAGAGAGGCUGGGCAUGGGCUUGGUAUCUCGAAGCUCUGUCUCCCACUCCGCGCUGUCUGAUGAUCGAGCCGGUGAUCGAGCAGGAAACCCCAGUGAGGGCAAAGUCUUCUUGCUCGCAGCUGGACUUGUUUGACGAUGUUGGUACUUUCGCCUCUGGACCCCCCAAGUACAAGGACAGCUUUUCCUUAGGGGAAAGCUUUGGUUCCCGCUGGGAUACAGAUGCUGCCUGGGGUAUGGACAGGGUAGAGAAGGAGCCAGAAGUGACCAUCUCAAGCAUCCUGCCUAUUUCAGAAAGGGCCACAAACCGGAGGGAGGUGGAGAGCCGGAGCACAGGCCUCGAGUCUAGUGAGGCGUGUCAGAAAUUCGCAGGAGCCAAAGCCAUCUCAUCUGACAUGUUCUUUGGGCGGGAGGUGGAUGCGGAGUAUGAGGCUGGGUCUCGGCUGCAGCAGCUCUCAGGCAGCAGCGCCAUCAGCUCUUCAGACCUCUUUGGGACAUGGACGGGGCUCACGGAGCAGGAAGCGUAUCUCUGGGGAACGUGCUGCCUACAGCGGACAUUGCCCAGUUUAAGCAGGGUGUCAAGUCUGUGGCCGGGAAGAUGGCUGUGCUGGCCAAUGGUGUGAUGAAUUCCUGGCAGGAUCGCUUCAGGCGUACGGUGUGA